AACCUCAACAAAUUCUGUGCUCCCCCAAUUCAAUCAUCAAUGGCGGUCAAGAUUAAUGAGUUGGAUAAUGACAACAAAGAAAACAUCCCACCAAUUAUUUCUCCGAAUAAAUCGAGCCCCGAUUUUCAAUCUAAAUUCCCGAAGAUGAAUGAGUGCAUAAGAAGAAGAAGAACGCCUUUAAGAGAUAUUACUCAUCUUUACAAGGCAGGUGCUCAGAUUCGUCAGGCUGACGUCAGCCUGACGAAUCUGCCCUCCUCUGUUUUGGUUUCUGUCGUCGUUUCGACUAAUCGGAAAAGAAAAUCAGCCGAUGAUAAUUCUGGGAUCGAGUCUUGCUCCAAGAUUCUGCGAAGAGAUUUUAGAUAGAUAGAUAGAUUCAAUUAUGUUGUAGCUUAUAUACUACAAGAUCUUUUUUUUUUUUUUUGUGUGUAAUAAUUAAUCUAGAUUCUAUAUUUUCAUAGAAAGAAAAUGAAAAUGAACAGAGUUCAUAAUUGUGAAAGAUUAAAC
This 504-nucleotide long non-coding RNA is filed under the name Erythranthe guttata (spotted monkey flower). Its description in RNAcentral is "long non-coding RNA (EGUT_LNC002141)". Lineage: Eukaryota; Viridiplantae; Streptophyta; Magnoliopsida; Lamiales; Phrymaceae. The record is from RNAcentral.